AAAUUUAAUAUACAUAACACUACAUAAACAAUUUUAAUUUUAAUUAUAUUAAAUAUAUUGAUAUAUAUCUAUUUUACAUUAUUUAAAUUUUUCUUAACUGUUUAAUUCCGCACUUUAGAUUUUCACCAAUCAACACAAUUCUGCACCGCUAAUUUUAUCAAAACCGCACUUAUCCCGCAAAACGCACGAACCGCAGUUGAACCGUCCCGCAC
Molecule: long non-coding RNA, 212 nt
Filed under: Brassica napus (rape)
Lineage: Eukaryota; Viridiplantae; Streptophyta; Magnoliopsida; Brassicales; Brassicaceae
Description: long non-coding RNA (BNAP_LNC000672)
Source: RNAcentral